UGAAAAUGAGCUCCGCUUCCUGAAUGGCCGUUUCGAUGUAGGUCGAAAAGAACAGGUUCUAUUGCGGAACUUUGCUCGAUAUGUAUAUAUGCAAAAAGGCUGGAUUCCCCCGGUGAAUAUUAGAUUCCAUUUCAUCUACGACCACAGUACCGGAGAAACAAGAGUAAAAACAAAGGCGGAAACAGCAGAUCUUGAAUGCUGCUCAGUGUUCAGGUAAAGACAAAAAGGCCGGCGUUUUCGCCAUCAAAAAGAGCAACGAGGGAAGAUUCCAGUGAUCGUAUUUUGCCGGAUGUCUAGUGACAACUAAAACAUCAGUAAUUAUACCCAUACGUAUGCUAAACACAUCCUGAGGAGCCACGGGAAUAGCGCUGCACUGCAAAGAUAACUGCAGCCCAAAAUUAUUCGACAAAUGCCAGCUCCAGUGAGUGGUAUGUGCCAAAUUUUGCUGUGUGCUGUGUGCUAUUUAUAAAAUAUUAAAUUGAAACCCAUCGCCAAAACUGCGGGACACGUCUAAAAAAUAACUCCAACGUUAAAACGGAACGAGCGGUUAACCGACUUUCAAAAAUGAAAUCCGAAACACAAUUAAAAAAAAAGCAAUCCAGUUGCUACUCUGUUAAAAUAGAUCUGGCUCUGUGCAAAAUUUUUAAAAUAACUGUGUUAUAAUCGAUAUUUAUUCUAUCUAAUGAUCUAAUACGAGGUAGUAUAAAGAGUACGCAAAAGCACUAGGGCUUGAUUGCAACGCAAGGUGAAUGCUAUAAUUGAACCUCAAUAUGUUUCUUUAAUUAAUAGUUUCUGGUACUAUCGCACAUAAGAAUAUAGACUAUCAAUUCUGGCUACCACACUUAUCAAAAUAUGACCAAUUAAAAACAUGAUCGUUAGGAACCGAUAGUGAGAAUAGAUCCCAAUGAAGAUAACCAGUUAACAAUACUGUAUUAAAUUAAAAUUAACAAUAAGUCAGGGCCAAUAACACGGCCGAAGAAUAAAUGAAGCGCAGAUUGAUUUUAGAUAUUUAGCAAGAAUAUCGAACAAGGUCAUCAUUGAUGAAAAAAAUUUACUAAAUGGUCUGAGUUUUUCGAAAUUUUAUGUUAUUGAAAA
Long non-coding RNA from Uranotaenia lowii, 1095 nucleotides. RefSeq lists it as uncharacterized. Lineage: Eukaryota; Metazoa; Arthropoda; Insecta; Diptera; Culicidae. The transcript is spliced from 3 exons. The record is from RefSeq and is a predicted model, not a curated record.